Molecule: ribosomal RNA, 979 nt
Filed under: Bufo gargarizans andrewsi (West China toad)
Lineage: Eukaryota; Metazoa; Chordata; Amphibia; Anura; Bufonidae
Description: partial large subunit ribosomal RNA
Rfam family: Bacterial large subunit ribosomal RNA
Source: RNAcentral
AUCAUUCGGCUUUCAACGUAAUUCAAAUAAGGUACAGCCUAUUUGAAACAGGAUACAACCUAGACCAAUGGAUAAGAUCAGCCUAGCAUACAAUCAAGUGGGCCUAAAAGCAGCCACCUUAAGUAAAGCGUCAAAGCUAAGUUGUAACCGCGCCAAAUCUCUUAAUCUUCAUCUUAAUCCCCAACCAAUACUGAGUAAUUCUAUAACAUUAUAGAAAUUUUUAUGUUAAAACUAGUAACAAGAAGAAGACUCUUCUCUUAAAUGUACGUGUAAAUCAGAAAAGACAAGCUACUGAUACUUAACACCCUUGAGCUCAAAGUAGCAACUAACCAAGAAAACCCUACUUUCAUUAGUGUUAACCUAACACAAGAACAUUCCGAGAAAGAUUUAAAGAAAAAGAAGGAACUCGGCAAAUAUUAACCUCGCCUGUUUACCAAAAACAUCGCCUCUUGAAUUUCUAUGAGAGGUCCAGCCUGCCCAGUGACCCUGUUCAACGGCCGCGGUAUCCUAACCGUGCGAAGGUAGCGUAAUCACUUGUUCUCUAAAUGUGGACUAGUAUGAAUGGCAUCACGAAGGUUAUACUGUCUCCUUUUUCUAAUCAGUGAAACUAAUCUCCCCAUGAAGAAGCGGGGAUAGCACUAUAAGACGAGAAGACCCUAUGGAGCUUCAAACAAUGCAGCAUCUGCCCCACAACACUGAAAUUUCCGAAUUAAAACUCCUCUGGGCAGUGUGACUGCGAGUUUUUGGUUGGGGUGACCACGGAGCAUAACAUAACCUCCAUGCUGAAAGAAUAUUUCUAAGCUAAGAACCACAAAUCCAAGCAUCAAUAAAUUGACAUCCAUUGACCCAAUAUACUUGAACAACGAACCAAGUUACCCUAGGGAUAACAGCGCAAUCCACUUCAAAAGCUCCUAUCGACAAGUGGGUUUACGACCUCGAUGUUGGAUCAGGGUCUCCCAGUGGUGCAGCCGCUACUAAA